AUUGAACGCUGGCGGCAUGCCUUACACAUGCAAGUCGAACGGUAACAGGUCUUCGGAUGCUGACGAGUGGCGAACGGGUGAGUAAUACAUCGGAACGUGCCUAGUAGUGGGGGAUAACUACUCGAAAGAGUGGCUAAUACCGCAUGAGAUCUACGGAUGAAAGCAGGGGAUCGCAAGACCUUGUGCUACUAGAGCGGCCGAUGGCAGAUUAGGUAGGUGGUGGGAUAAAAGCUUACCAAGCCGGCGAUCUGUAGCUGGUCGGAGAGGACGCUCAGCCACACUGGGACUUAGACACCGCCCAGACUCCUACGGGAGGCAGCAGUGGGGAAUUUUGGACAAUGGGCGAAAGCCUGAUCCAGCAAUGCCCCGUGCAGGAUGAAGGCCUUCGGGUUGUAAACUGCUUUUGUACGGAACGAAAAGCCCCGAGUUAAUACCCUGGGGUCAUGACGGUACCGUAAGAAUAAGCACCGGCUAACUACGUGCCAGCCGCCGCGGUAA
RNAcentral lists this ribosomal RNA (498 nucleotides) under uncultured bacterium. RNAcentral describes it as "partial 16S ribosomal RNA". It matches the Rfam family "Bacterial small subunit ribosomal RNA", at positions 30 to 523 of the family's 1533-position model. The record is from RNAcentral.